GACGAACGCUGGCGGCGUGCUUAACACAUGCGAGUCGAACGGAAAGGCCUCUUUCGGGGGGUACUCGAGUGGCGAACGGGUGAGUAACACGUGAGUAACCUGCCCUUGACUUUGGGAUAACUUCAGGAAACUGGGGCUAAUACCGGAUAGGAGCUCCUGCUGCAUGGUGGGGGUUGGAAAGUUUCGGCGGUUGGGGAUGGACUCGCGGCUUAUCAGCUUGUUGGUGGGGUAGUGGCUUACCAAGGCUUUGACGGGUAGCCGGCCUGAGAGGGUGACCGGCCACAUUGGGACUGGAAAACGGCCCAAACUCCUACGGGAGGCAGCAGGGGGGAAUAUUGCACAAUGGGGGGAGGCCUGAUGCAGCAACGCCGUGUGCGGGAUGACGGCCUUCGGUUUUUAAACCGCUUUCGCCCAUGAAGAAGCUUUGGGUGACGGGGGUGGGUAAAGAAGCACAGGCUAACCCCGU
RNAcentral lists this ribosomal RNA (466 nucleotides) under uncultured bacterium. Its description in RNAcentral is "partial 16S ribosomal RNA". It matches the Rfam family "Bacterial small subunit ribosomal RNA", at positions 28 to 506 of the family's 1533-position model. The record is from RNAcentral.